This 260-nucleotide long non-coding RNA is filed under the name Malus domestica (apple). RNAcentral describes it as "long non-coding RNA (MDOM_LNC015267)". Lineage: Eukaryota; Viridiplantae; Streptophyta; Magnoliopsida; Rosales; Rosaceae. The record is from RNAcentral.
CAUGACGGGUUCGGGCAAAUAGGCGUUGGGCCAUGUUGGACACGGAACCGGCACACUGCACGCUAAGAGCCAGAGACUCCUUAACCGCCAAUUCAUCAGACCGCCUAGCGAGCAGUCUGUUAUCUCUAGGGGUGACAAGGUUCCGGGCCACCACCGCAGCAGUCAUGUCAUUUUUCAUCAUCGAAUCCCCCACGGUAAGGGGACCGGUAGGGGAUAUGAAGGAUGGCCGCCAUAUGUUGUCUGGUGAAGGCGGAGCUGCC